CCCUCCUGGCGGGUGCUAUAAUGCAGUCGAGCGACAGAUAAGGAGCUUGCUCCUUUGACGUUAGCGGCGGACGGGUGAGUAACACGUGGAUAACCUACCUAUAAGACUGGGAUAACUUCGGGAAACCGGAGCUAAUACCGGAUAACAUAUUGAACCGCAUGGUUCAAUAGUGAAAGGCGGCUUUGCUGUCACUUAUAGAUGGAUCCGCGCCGUAUUAGCUAGUUGGUAAGGUAACGGCUUACCAAGGCAACGAUACGUAGCCGACCUGAGAGGGUGAUCGGCCACAGUGGAACUGAGACUCUGUCCAUACUCCU
Molecule: ribosomal RNA, 314 nt
Filed under: Staphylococcus sp.
Lineage: Bacteria; Bacillati; Bacillota; Bacilli; Caryophanales; Staphylococcaceae
Description: bacterial SSU rRNA
Rfam family: Bacterial small subunit ribosomal RNA
Source: RNAcentral